This 305-nucleotide ribosomal RNA is filed under the name uncultured bacterium. RNAcentral's name for it is "partial 16S ribosomal RNA". It matches the Rfam family "Bacterial small subunit ribosomal RNA", at positions 508 to 807 of the family's 1533-position model. The record is from RNAcentral.
ACAGCAGUCGCCGCGGGAAUACGAAGGGGGCUAGCGUUGUUCGGAUUUACUGGGCGUAAAGCGCACGUAGGCGGAUCGAUCAGUCAGGGGUGAAAUCCCAGAGCUCAACUCUGGAACUGCCUUUGAUACUGUCGAUCUGGAGUAUGGAAGAGAUGAGUGGAAUUCCGAGUGUAGAGGUGAAAUUCGUAGAUAUUCGGAGGAACACCAGUGGCGAAGGCGGCUCACUGGUCCAUUACUGACGCUGAGGUGCGAAAGCGUGGGGAGCAAACAGGAUUAGAUACCCCUGUAGUCCCUGUCUCUUAUAC